GACGAACGCUGGCGGCGUGCUUAACACAUGCAAGUCGAAUGGAAAGGCCCUGCUUUUGUGCGGUGCUCGAGUGGCGAACGGGUGUGUAACACGUGAGUAUACUGCCCUUGACUUUGGGAUAACUUCAGGAAACUGGGGCAAAUACCGGAUUGGCGCUCAUGCUGACUGGUGGGGGUUGGACAGUUUCGGCGGUUGGGGAUGGACUCGCGGCUUAUCAGCUUGUUGGUGGGGUAGUGGCUUACCAAGGCUUUGACGGGUAGCCGGCCUGAGAGGGUGACCGGCCACACUGGGACUGAGAUACAGCCCAGACUCCUACGGGAGGCAGCAGUGGGGAAGAUUGCAUAAGGGGCGGAAGCCUGAUGCAGCAACGCCGCGUGCGGGAUGACGGCCUGCGGGUUGGAAACCGCUUUCGCCUGUGACGAAGCGUGAGUGACGGUAACGGGUAAAUAAGCACCGGCUAACUACGUG
RNAcentral lists this ribosomal RNA (468 nucleotides) under uncultured bacterium. RNAcentral describes it as "partial 16S ribosomal RNA". It matches the Rfam family "Bacterial small subunit ribosomal RNA", at positions 28 to 507 of the family's 1533-position model. The record is from RNAcentral.